This 253-nucleotide ribosomal RNA is filed under the name uncultured bacterium. Its description in RNAcentral is "partial 16S ribosomal RNA". It matches the Rfam family "Bacterial small subunit ribosomal RNA", at positions 524 to 776 of the family's 1533-position model. The record is from RNAcentral.
UACGUAGGGUGCGAGCGUUAAUCGGAAUUACUGGGCGUAAAGCGUGCGCAGGCGGUUCGUUAAGUCAGAUGUGAAAGCCCCGGGCUCAACCUGGGAACUGCAUUUGAAACUGGCGGGCUUGAGUGUGGCAGAGGGGGGUAGAAUUCCACGUGUAGCAGUGAAAUGCGUAGAGAUGUGGAGGAACACCGAUGGCGAAGGCAGCCCCCUGGGUCAAGAUUGACGCUCAUGCACGAAAGCGUGGGGAGCAAACAGG